This 302-nucleotide unclassified non-coding RNA is filed under the name uncultured Pseudomonadota bacterium. RNAcentral's name for it is "uncultured proteobacterium partial 16S-23S ribosomal RNA intergenic spacer". The stretch from base 181 to 254 matches the Rfam family "tRNA". Lineage: Bacteria; Pseudomonadati; Pseudomonadota. The record is from RNAcentral.
UUGCGGCUGGAUCACCUCCUUUCUCGGAAUCAGGGAACAGGGGCCAGGUCACAGGCAACCGCGAUGUUGCCCUGCCACCGGGCACUGUCCUCCCUCAUGCGUUCCAGUACCCACAACCUAUCGAUUGCGGUUAGCGCGAACGGAAAGCAGCGGCGCACGACGCGCACGUUGAAGGCAUUCGGGCCUGUAGCUCAGUUGGUUAGAGCACCGUCUUGAUAAGGCGGGGGUCGAUGGUUCGAAUCCAUCCAGACCCACCACGGUCUUGUCUGGUGAGCUGCUCGGGUGAAACCUCUGGAGUGUGU